CUACGGGCUGCUCCAGUGAGGAAUAUUGCACAAUGGGGGGAACCCUGAUGCAGCAACGCCGCGUGGAGGAUGACGCAUUUCGGUGUGUAAACUCCUUUUAUAUGUCAAGAAAAUGACGGUAGCAUAUGAAUAAGCACCGGCUAACUCCGUGCCAGCAGCCGCGGUAGUACGGAGGGUGCAAGCGUUACUCGGAAUCACUGGGCGUAAAGGACGCGUAGGCGGGUUGGAAAGUCAGGUGUGAAAUCCUACAGCUUAACUGUAGAGCUGCACUUGAAACUUCUAAUCUAGAGUAUGGGAGGGGGAGAUGGAAUUAGUGGUGUAGGGGUAAAAUCCGUAGAUAUCACUAGGAAUACCUAAAGCGAAGGCGAUCUCCUGGAACAUUACUGACGCUAAGGCGUGAAAGCGUGGGGAGCAAACAGGAUUAGAUACCCGUGUAGUC
This 439-nucleotide ribosomal RNA is filed under the name uncultured bacterium. RNAcentral's name for it is "partial 16S ribosomal RNA". It matches the Rfam family "Bacterial small subunit ribosomal RNA", at positions 339 to 795 of the family's 1533-position model. The record is from RNAcentral.